RNAcentral lists this transfer RNA (89 nucleotides) under Arcobacter sp. F2176. Its description in RNAcentral is "tRNA-Ser". It matches the Rfam family "tRNA". Rfam says of the family: Transfer RNA (tRNA) molecules are approximately 80 nucleotides in length. Their secondary structure includes four short double-helical elements and three loops (D, anti-codon, and T loops). The record is from RNAcentral. Lineage: Bacteria; Pseudomonadati; Campylobacterota; Epsilonproteobacteria; Campylobacterales; Arcobacteraceae.
AGAGAGUUGCCAGAGUUUGGCGAAUGGACCGGGUUUGAAAACCGGCGGGGUUAACGGCUCCGAGGGGUCGAAGCCCUUGCUCUCUGCCA